GACGAACGCUGGCGGCGUGCCUAAUACAUGCAAGUAGAACGCUGAAGGAGGAGCUUGCUUCUCUGGAUGAGUUGCGAACGGGUGAGUAACGCGUAGGUAACCUGCCUGGUAGCGGGGGAUAACUAUUGGAAACGAUAGCUAAUACCGCAUAAGAGUAGAUGUUGCAUGACAUUUGCUUAAAAGGUGCAAUUGCAUCACUACCAGAUGGACCUGCGUUGUAUUAGCUAGUUGGUGGGGUAACGGCUUACCAAGGCGACGAUACAUAGCCGACCUGAGAGGGUGAUCGGCUAAGCUGAGACUGAGACACGGCCCAGACGCCGACGGGAGGCAGCAGUAGGGAAUCCUCGGCAAUAGACGGAAGUCUGACCGAGCAACGCCGCGUGAGUGAAGAAGGUUUUCGGAUCGUAAAGCCCUGUUGUAAGAGAAGAACGGGUGUGAGAGUGGAAAGUUCACACUGUGACGGUAUCUUACCAGAAAGGGACGGCUAACUACGUG
Molecule: ribosomal RNA, 495 nt
Filed under: uncultured bacterium
Lineage: Bacteria
Description: partial 16S ribosomal RNA
Rfam family: Bacterial small subunit ribosomal RNA
Source: RNAcentral